Musa acuminata AAA Group (dessert banana) is the source of this 1139-nucleotide long non-coding RNA. RefSeq lists it as uncharacterized. The transcript has 3 exons. NCBI's taxonomy places the organism in Eukaryota, Viridiplantae, Streptophyta, Magnoliopsida, Zingiberales, Musaceae. The record is from RefSeq and is a predicted model, not a curated record.
ACAAAUUGUGAUGCGGUUAAGAUAAAAAGUAUUUUUCCCUACUUGAUUUCUCAUAAGUGCAUCUGGUUUCCAUCAAAACCUCAUUAUAUGCAAUCCAUUAGUUACAUGAUGCUCCUUCUGUCAUGAGUUGCAGUAAAAUAUCCAGCAAACUCCUUAUCUGUGGUCUUGGGUUGUAGUUCUUGUAUCCAAAAGUUGGCUCAUUUUAUUGAUGAUUUUGGAGCACAUCAACAGGGAAAAUGACAGUGCUUUCAAGUUGUGGUUCUUGUAUCUAAAAGGUUGAAAAAGAAGAGACUUGGAUCAUUUUAUUGAUGAUUUUGGAGCACAUUGACAAGGAAAAUGACAGUGGCAAGCAAUCUUUUCUUGAAUCUCCUCAGCAUGGGUCAGCCACAGGGAACAAACUCUUAAAGCGGUCUCUUCACUGUCCCAUGCCUAACCUAAUAUUCCCCUUCGGUAUCACCCUUGAGCAGAGGUCAAAGGUGUGCAUCUCCCAUGCAGAAUUAUGACGCUUUGAUGGUCGUGCACGUCAAGCCAACUGCAGUCCAUGUAGUUUGCUCAGUCUCCAUUCUGAUAACCUGUGUCAGAUAAAUGCAACAUUAUCAUACCAGAUGAGGACAUUAUUCUUUAGGCUUUCCGUGUCCCUUGAAAGGUAUAGGAUGUGAAACGAGUAUUCUUUCAAAGCAGCUCAACUGCGGAGCCGGGUGUCAAGAUCUUGCUAAGAACAGUGCCAGCAGAUUCCAAUACAAUAGCUUUGAUAAGCAACUCCUUAUUCCACAUUCACUCCCUUUUCAUGAACGAGCUGCCAUGUCUAAGACACGCAUAUCAUCAGGUAUGGGGUGGGGAGAAGAGAAACGGAAGGGUGGAAUCUUCUCCUGUAGAGUAAACAAUUGGAAGCAAGAAACUUUGGUUUUUAUUUCUUUGGAGUUCUCUUGUUAGAACAGCAGUACUAUGACAAGGAAAGCAGUUGCCAACCUUUUUGCAUGAGGAUGUGAGAGACAAAAAACUCAUGGCAACAUUGGAAGGUGGCAAACUCGACACGGUUCAGUUUGCUGAAGGUGUCAAAGAUUCUGUUCUUCCUUCCAAUCUCUUAGUCAAUUACGAAGGAGAUCUGCUUAAUGUUUACUAACUGUUGCAAACCUUAG